GUUCCCUGCUGUGAUGUCGAUGAUCUUCACGGCAUACUCCUGCCUGGUGGCUUUGUGGAUGCACCGGCGGACGACGCUGCUCACCCCCCUGCCAGGAACAGCACAGGAACGAUGAGGAAAUGCGGCUCAGAGAGGUGAGGCUCUGAAGAACAGUUGGGACGCGUGACAGCAGCUCAGCAAGCAGCAAGAAGGCCAGCACAUCCCCAUCCCAGUAGCACGUUAUGGGCAACGAGGCCCGACCCGGAAGGGGCUGCUCAGACACGGCCUUAAUGCUACAGGGAACCGACCCCUUCCACCCAGCAAAGCGCCCACCCCGCUCCAGAGCCCCGAGCAGCGCACGACCCCUCUGCGUCACCCACCCCGACACGGCUGCGAGGCCUCUGCGGCCUACACGGCCCUGGGGUGGGGACCCGAGAAAAGGGCCGGAAGGUAGAAGGCCCAACAGC
Molecule: long non-coding RNA, 446 nt
Organism: Lagopus muta (rock ptarmigan)
Lineage: Eukaryota; Metazoa; Chordata; Aves; Galliformes; Phasianidae
Exons: 3
Source: RefSeq, a predicted model, not a curated record